AAUUUAUUUCAACUUUCAGGCAGAGUAUAAUAUCUUUACCAUCAGUGGCUUGCUAGCCUCCCGCUUGCUAGCCUCCCGCUCUCUUCUUGAAAACCCAUGACAUUCUCACUUGACAUUUCAUGUACAUGGUCACAGUAUAUUGGCCGCCUUAAACUGGAAAACAGACGCGUGUAAAAAGAACAAGGCAAGCAUUUUAUGUAACAAUUAAAAACACCUCUGACUAGGACUGGUAAAAUAUAAUUAUGAGUUGGUUUUAAUUUUAAAAAUAUGAUUAUGGUUUUAUUUAAGAAUUAAAAUCAUAUUAAUUAUUUUUAAUAUGGGUUGUGUGGGU
This 331-nucleotide long non-coding RNA is filed under the name Panax ginseng (ginseng). RNAcentral's name for it is "long non-coding RNA (PGIN_LNC012154)". The record is from RNAcentral. Lineage: Eukaryota; Viridiplantae; Streptophyta; Magnoliopsida; Apiales; Araliaceae.